Oreochromis aureus is the source of this 436-nucleotide long non-coding RNA. RefSeq lists it as uncharacterized. Lineage: Eukaryota; Metazoa; Chordata; Actinopteri; Cichliformes; Cichlidae. The transcript has 3 exons. The record is from RefSeq and is a predicted model, not a curated record.
UUUUCUCACGUUGAGGAGAGAGCUUCUCCGUCCUGUACGCAGGCGGCUUGAAUACAACACGGCUAAAGCGCCUCCCACUGGCGUUUCUCGGUACUCCUCAUGCUUCAUCAGACACCUGACCACCAUCUUCUCCCGUUUGCUUGUUUUCCGAGAGGAUUUGAAGUUUGAAACCAUGCAUACUGCAGUGCAGGGGGAUGGAUGUGUGCAGAAAAAGGAGUGAUGGCAUCGCAGGGCCAGGUCAUUUUUCAAGCUUGACUGAUUGAAAGUGGUCUGACUACUCAAGGCCGGUGUUGCCAUACAUGCAGCAGGUAGAGGCCUUUUCGGUGUUAUGAAGGACUCUUCCCUUGCUGCUCUCGUGUGUUACUCAAGUACUAGUUAGCACAAGGUGGCAGAAGAGGAGCCCCCAGCUCGACAUCAACAACAACAACAACAUCAA